AUCCAGCUGACGAGACCCAAAUAGGAGGAAAUGCGCAUCCUAGAU
This 45-nucleotide non-coding RNA is filed under the name Trichobilharzia regenti. The record is from RNAcentral. Lineage: Eukaryota; Metazoa; Platyhelminthes; Trematoda; Strigeidida; Schistosomatidae.